This 920-nucleotide ribosomal RNA is filed under the name uncultured bacterium. RNAcentral's name for it is "bacterial SSU rRNA". It matches the Rfam family "Bacterial small subunit ribosomal RNA", at positions 8 to 933 of the family's 1533-position model. The record is from RNAcentral.
AGAGUUUGAUCCUGGCUCAGGAUGAACGCUAGCGGCAGGCUUAACACAUGCAAGUCGAGGGGUAGAAGCAGCUUGCUGCUUUGAGACCGGCGCACGGGUGCGUAACGCGUAUACAAUCUACCUUUUACAGAGGGAUAGCCCAGAGAAAUUUGGAUUAAUACCUCAUAGUAUUUUCGAAUCGCAUGAUUUGAUUAUUAAAGUUCCAACGGUAAAAGAUGAGUAUGCGUCCCAUUAGCUAGAUGGUAAGGUAACGGCUUACCAUGGCAACGAUGGGUAGGGGUCCUGAGAGGGAGAUCCCCCACACUGGUACUGAGACACGGACCAGACUCCUACGGGAGGCAGCAGUGAGGAAUAUUGGACAAUGGGCGCAAGCCUGAUCCAGCCAUGCCGCGUGCAGGAAGACGGUCCUAUGGAUUGUAAACUGCUUUUAUACAGGAAGAAACACACCCUCGUGAGGGUACUUGACGGUACUGUAUGAAUAAGCAUCGGCUAACUCCGUGCCAGCAGCCGCGGUAAUACGGAGGAUGCAAGCGUUAUCCGGAAUCAUUGGGUUUAAAGGGUCCGUAGGCGGCCAAAUAAGUCAGUGGUGAAAGCCCAUCGCUCAACGAUGGAACGGCCAUUGAUACUGUUUGGCUUGAAUUAUUAGGAAGUAACUAGAAUAUGUAGUGUAGCGGUGAAAUGCUUAGAGAUUACAUGGAAUACCAAUUGCGAAGGCAGGUUACUACUAAUAUAUUGACGCUGAUGGACGAAAGCGUGGGGAGCGAACAGGAUUAGAUACCCUGGUAGUCCACGCCGUAAACGAUGGAUACUAGCUGUUCGGAGCAAUCUGAGUGGCUAAGCGAAAGUGAUAAGUAUCCCACCUGGGGAGUACGUUCGCAAGAAUGAAACUCAAGGAAUUGACGGGGGCCCGCACAAGCGGU